Molecule: ribosomal RNA, 407 nt
Filed under: uncultured bacterium
Lineage: Bacteria
Description: partial 16S ribosomal RNA
Rfam family: Bacterial small subunit ribosomal RNA
Source: RNAcentral
AUUGAACGCUGGCGGCAGGCCUAACACAUGCCAGUCGAACGGAGUGGCGGACGGGUGAGUAAUGUCUGGGAAACUGCCUGAUGGAGGGGGAUAACGACUGGAAACGGGCGAUAAUACCGCAUAAUAUCAGAUGAGCCUAGGGGGGAUUAGCUAGUUGGUGGGGUAAACGCCUACCAAGGCGACGAUCCGUAACUGGUCUGAGAGGAUGAUCAGUCACCCUGGAACUGAGACACGGUCCAGACUCCUACGGGAGUCAGCAGUGGGGAAUAUUGGACAAUGGGCGAAAGCCUGAUCCAGCCAUGCCGCGUGUGUGAAGAAGGUCUUCGGAUUGUAAAGCACUUUAAGUUGUGAGGCGUUACCAACAGAAUAAGCACCGGCUAACUUCGUGAAAGCCGCCGCGGUAAUAC